Non-coding RNA from Ictidomys tridecemlineatus (thirteen-lined ground squirrel), 3294 nucleotides. Lineage: Eukaryota; Metazoa; Chordata; Mammalia; Rodentia; Sciuridae. The record is from RefSeq and is a predicted model, not a curated record.
UCACAUGUGCAAGGCAAGCACUCCACCACGGAGCCUCAAUCCCAGACCCAACUAUUCCAGUUUUUAAAUAACUUUUUUGAUACUUGUAAGGAUUGUCAUAUACACACCCUUUCCCCACCACUUCAGGUUCCACUCUUUUCCAGCCUAAGCACUUGUAUCUUCCUGGCCUCUGAUUACCUGGGAGCCUCCACUCUGAAUGCCCACUCCUGAGAGGUGUCUGCAGCUUUGAACUUUCCACAGUUCAGCAUUGAUCUAGGUUUCUAGACUUUCAGAGGUCUGUCCUUUCUGCUGGGAGACAACUAAUUUGAACCCAAAUGCUCAUGAGCAAUGCUAGGAUUUGUUUUUACUUAGUGAUAAUUUGAAAUCAGGAUGCAAGCAGGUGUGCAGAGCAUUUCCCAGCCCCUCCCCAGUCACAGGGCACCAGGUAGCUCUUCUGACAUCACCCCUCCAGAGCCAUCCACAUUAAGGAGGGUCUGCUGAAGGCAUCACUGCAAAUGCCGUACUAUGGCUAACAUGUGCUGAAAAUGCUGCUUCUUUCAUGGAUCUCAAAUACACCUGUGCCAAUCAGUGGAAAACGAUAGGUAAACCAGCCUUAUUUUGUGAAUUGGUCCUUGGAGAAAGGGAAUACAGCAGUGUUCUAAUAACUGUCCUUGGGAGAGUGGGGAGAGAUGGGAGAACAAGUAGAACAACUGUUGCGGUGAUCACCACCACAGGCACCCCACAGUCAGCAAAAUGGAGCCAGAAUCAAGGGCACAGAAAGGUCCACAUCAGCUGAGUAGAGGCAGGGAGAUGAUGGCUUCAGCAUGGGAUAGGGCCCAAGUGGUGACGAGGAGUAACUCAACGGUAAAGAGAGGUCAGAAGGGGGCGAGUUCCUGUUAAAUGCUAUGAUUCUCCUGUAUGUCUGUUUUGAAGCACAAUAGGAUAAUUAAUGAAGGUAUCUUAUGAAUGUACACCUGAGCUGUUUCUUUGAGAGAAAUAAGUGUGUCAUCAUUUAGAACAUGAAAACCACUUGAGUUUUUCUCUGCUAUUUAGUGAUAAUCGCUAUUGGCAUCUCACAAACACAAGACUGAUUUUGAAACCAGAGUGGGAAAGGGGAUAAUAAGAUGACACAGGUGUUUAAAGGUGAUGAGACUUGGGUGAGGAUCCUAAGUGAGGAUCCUAAGGGAGUGGAAGUGGUUCUCUAGAUGUCUAAGCAAGACUGCUAAAGAAAAUGUUCUUGAUUAUUUUUUCCUUUGGCCAAAUUUUUGUAGAUAAUUCAUGUAUCUCUAUUUCAGUGUCCAUGGUGGGCAAUGACAUGUGUGUUGUAUUAUUAAUUUAGGAUGUAUGCUUACAUGUUUGAGUUAAUAUUUAGUUCUAGGAAUUUAGCUCAGUUUGAGCUUAAUUUUAGUCACUAACAUUAUUUUUCAUUAAUUCUCUUACUACACUGCCCAUAAUGCUGGAAAACAAAGCCAAAUCUAAUUUAGGUAGGUCUGAAGCAGAAAAGAGUGAGAAUUUGGCGGCUAAGUAGGCCUAGUUUUAAAUCCCCACUUUGCCAUUGUUUACCUGUGUUUGUUAUGAGCAAGUUGUUCCAGCUUCAGUUUGUCUAAUGGUAAAAGGAGGAGGCCUUCCCUGAGGGCUGUGGUCAAGGUAAACUGAGGUAUGCAAAGAGAGACACCUUGGCCUUGAUUUUAUAUAUAAAAGCUUUAGGAUUGACUAUGUAGGCCCAAUUUACAAAAUCAACCAUAGCCUGUUGGAAAAUGUUCGUGUUGCCAUCUUUUCUAGAUCUUCAUGUUUACUCUGAGCUUAUCUCCAGAAACAACAGUUUUCCAUUCUCACCCCAGUUUAUUUGAACAUAAUUUUUUAAUAAAUAUUUUUUAGUUGUAGUUGACACAAUACCUUUAUUUUAUUUAUUUAUUUAUAUGUGGUGCUGAGGAUCGAACCCAGGGCGAGCUAGGCGAGCACUCUACCACUGAGCCACAACACCAACCCCCCUAGAACAUAAUUUUAAAAGAAUCUACCUCUCUCACCUGUUUAGCCUGGCAUGCAAGGCUCCUUAUAUUUUGUCUCUGGUCUGUGUCUCAAGGUCUUGUGUGCUUGUUCAUGAUUAUAAUAGGUUCCUAGCAUGCCAUGAUGAUUUAACAUCUCCAGGUCUUUGCCCAUAUGGUUUCCUUUAUCUGGUUUCUUCUCCCCAUCUGCUGAAUUCCAAUUCAUCUUUAAAAAUACUCAGCUGUCCCUGACCAUUGAUUCCUUUCUUCAUUGCUUCAACAGGCAUCGAUCGGCCUAUUGUUUGUCAGGAACUUGGUUGUACAAGAUAAGAAAAUGCUGUAAAGCUUCAUGGUACCCCUCAGAAAGAGUUAAUCAUUUCCUUCUUGAAAACUCCUUGAACAUAUUUCUAUUCCAUAUCAUACUGUAUUGUCAUUAUUUGCUUAUGUUUCUCUCCUCUAUAAGAUUAAGUUCCCCAAAAGUUAAGGUCCAAAUUCUAUUUUUUCUCUUUUACAUAGGUCUUAUAACAUAGUAAGUAUGCAAGAAGGUUUGUUGGAAUAAACUAAACUGUGAACAAAAGAGAUAUACAUGAUAUCACCCUGAAAUCUGAAGUUUGCACACACAGGAGAAGUGUCCAAAAUGAUUGGUCCAGAUAAUAAGUUGAAAAAAGAAAGGAUGUAAGCUGGAGUUGAGAAAAGUUUCAUGAAGGAACUGUUUCAUGAAGUUCAUGAAGGAAGUGUGGGUCUUGAAUUAGACUUCACAGAACAGAUGUGAACAAACAUCCUAAAACUUGUAUGGAAGCACAAAGGACCAAGAAAAGUCAAAAUGACCUUGAUUAAGAAAAAAUGGUGAGACUUAUUCUGCCUGAUAUCAAGACUAGCUGUAAAGCUAUCGUGACUGUGACAAUGUCAGGUUUGUGCUAUGAACACAAUAAUUAGGCCAAUGGAAUGCUGAGAGUCAUCCUUGAACUGUGUGUGAACUAAAGUGAUGUGGAAGCCAUUAGUCAGGAAAGCCUGGUACUGGGAACUACCAGCAGCAAUGCUGCUGGUUUGAAGAUGUUUGGUUCAUGUGGCUUCCUACCUAGAUCCAUCAAAAGUUCAGCACAUCACCGGAGAUGGGAUGACCCACUGGAGCCACAACCUGUUUUCUGCAAGACCCCUGCAACACUGAGAAGGAAGAGCCAAGACUACCAAGACUCCUCCUGCUGAAACCUGUCUCUGCCUUUCAUGUAUUCCCCCUUAAAUAAAGAAUUGGAGCCAUUUUUUAGUUGUUUAGUUCCAACUCCUAUCAGGACUGUAAGAUCUAUUAGACGUUCCGCUUUUUAAAAUCUAA